CCCACCUUAAAAGCCCUUGACAUACUUAAUAGUAUAAGCAGAAGUCACCAUAAGAUUCUCUCCAGGAAUUUUUUAUCCUCUUCCGCAUCUAAAAUCCCUAAAAACAUUAAUAUCAUGAGCCCAAAACUCAACCGUUGAUCUAAUCAAGAACCAAAGCAUUCUAUUAUGAGAAAGAAGAAUGGGAAGAAGAAGAAUUUACAGUGAAAAGGUAUUGGGUUUUGGUUUCGUGAUUUUGAAUAGAUGGAGUGUUGGAGAAAUAAUAUGAGAAAGAAGAAAAGAAGAAUUUACAAUGAAUAUGCAUUGAGUUUGGGUUUUAUAAUUUUGAAAUAUAAAGACUUUUACUGAGGAUCAAUUGUCAAUUUACGUAUUCUAAAUAGCUAUUUUAGAUGAAAGUACUAUGAAUUUGGACGGAAAAGAAAGUGAGAGACUUAAGUGUUGGGUCGCCAAAAUAGAGUUAGAAGUGUUAAUUUCGUUAAAAUUCAAUAAUUAAAAAGUAAUUUUUCUUAUUAUUUAUAAAAAAUAUUUUUUAUUUAAAAAAUAUUUUUUAUAAACAAAACAGAGCCAUUAGGCUAAGAUAUUUUACAUUCAAUGUGCAUUUGAAAAAAAACCAAUGGAUAUAAAGACAUUUGGAGGAAAAAAAGAAAAAAAAGAAAACCCAGCUUUUGCGAUCUAAAACCCGACCCGAGCCAUGUCUAAAAUGAACAGAGUUGUAACCUGUAAGCCCCAUAUGCUCUGCUCUCUCUGUGCCGUUCUUCUUCUUCUCCGACGUUCUCUUUAUUCUGCAUCCCUCUUCGAUCUUCAGUCAACUCAUACACACAUCUUAUGUGGUCAUUAGCUGCCGUCUCGUGACGCGCCACCACCGACUUCGAGAGUGAAAACUGAAAUUGCUGCACUUUGAGACUCUGUUUUCAACUGUAAGUCUAUUCCUCUAUGAUUGAUUACUGUAUUUAGCAGAGACUAGAGAAGGAUCAGGGCACAUGACUGUUAAGAGAUCAAUCACUUAUAUUUCUUUCAAGAAUUAUCUUUAUCCUGAAUUUGUUUUAGUGCAGGUGAACUUUGAAAAAAAGAAAAGAGUAACGCCCUUGACUUUUCACUCAUUGGAUGCACCGUCACCAUUUUAUUGGUCGAAGAUAGAUUAAAAUAAAAUAUUUUAAAAUAUGAUAUGUGUCUAGAAUUCUUUUGUUUCUACACUUUAAUGAUUAUAUUUUUUAUUAUUUAAGAAAAAAACA
This 1229-nucleotide long non-coding RNA is filed under the name Manihot esculenta (cassava). Its description in RNAcentral is "long non-coding RNA (MESC_LNC000711)". Lineage: Eukaryota; Viridiplantae; Streptophyta; Magnoliopsida; Malpighiales; Euphorbiaceae. The record is from RNAcentral.